ACGCGAAGAACCUUACCCAGGCUUGAACAGCGAGUGACCACUCACGAAAGUGAGCUUCCGCAAGGACACUCGUAGAGGUGCUGCAUGGCUGUCGUCAGCUCGUGUCGUGAGAUGUUGGGUUAAGUCCCGCAACGAGCGCAACCCUUGUCUUCUGUUGCCAUCAGGUUAUGCUGGGCACUCUGGAGAGACUGCCGGUGAUAAACCGGAGGAAGGUGGGGAUGACGUCAAGUCAGCAUGGCCUUUAUGUCUGGGGCUACACACGUGCUACAAUGGCCGGCACAAACCGUCGCGAGCCCGCGAGGGGGAGCUAAUCGGAGAAAGUCGGUCUCAGUUCGGAUAGCAGGCUGCAACCCGCCUGCUUGAAGUUGGAAUCGCUAGUAAUCGCGGAUCAGCACGCCGCGGUGAAUACGUUCCCGGGCCUUGUA
Molecule: ribosomal RNA, 425 nt
Filed under: uncultured Acidobacterium sp.
Lineage: Bacteria; Pseudomonadati; Acidobacteriota; Terriglobia; Terriglobales; Acidobacteriaceae
Description: bacterial SSU rRNA
Rfam family: Bacterial small subunit ribosomal RNA
Source: RNAcentral